UCUCCUACGGGAGGCAGCAGUAGGGAAUCUUCCACAAUGGGCGAAAGCCUGAUGGAGCAACGCCGCGUGUGUGAUGAAGGGUUUCGGCUCGUAAAACACUGUUGUAAGAGAAGAAUGACAUUGAGAGUAACUGUUCAAUGUGUGACGGUAUCUUACCAGAAAGGAACGGCUAAAUACGUGCCAGCAGCCGCGGUAAUACGUAUGUUCCAAGCGUUAUCCGGAUUUAUUGGGCGUAAAGCGAGCGCAGACGGUUAUUUAAGUUCUGAAGUGAAACCCUCAGCUCAACUGAGGAAUUGCUUGGAAACUGGAUGACUUGAGUGCAGAGAG
This 327-nucleotide ribosomal RNA is filed under the name uncultured bacterium. Its description in RNAcentral is "bacterial SSU rRNA". It matches the Rfam family "Bacterial small subunit ribosomal RNA", at positions 335 to 655 of the family's 1533-position model. The record is from RNAcentral.